AGGCGCCCGUAUCCAGCCACGGCCGGGAGCCCAGGAGUAUCCCGAGGCUGCACGGGGUAGGGGUGGGGGGCGGAGGGCGAGUCUUGGUCUUGAGCUGCUGGGGCGCGGAUUCUCUUUCAAAGCCAGAACCAGGCCUGUCCCGGACCCGCGUCCCGGGGAGGCUGCAGCGCAGAGCAGCGGGGCUGGGGCCGGUGGGGGGCCGUUUGGGACGCGCGGAGAGGUCCUGAGCGCGGUGGCUCUGCGUCUCCUAGCUCUGAUCUCCAGGCUACCCCUGUGAUUCCGCGCAGAGGUACCUCUCGGAGGACGCCGGGGUCCCAUGGGCGGCGCCGCGCAGGGCGCUAGGACCCCGCGGGGAGCGGAGGCGGCCUCGGCCCGGGAGCCUGGAGGACCUGGCCGGUCGAUCCGCCCGGGCUGGAAAACUUUCUUUAUAAUUACUUCUCCAGGUCGGAGCGCGCGGCUUGCUAGGCGCGCGGGGCCGGCGCUGUUACCCGGCGUGGAGUCGCCGAUUUUUUUUCCUGCGGGACCGCGGGGCCCCCCAGACUAGCGGAGCUGGACGCCGGGGCGAGCACGGGGAGGGGCGCACCGAGGGAGGAGACAAACUUAACUCUGGGGCCGGGAUUCCGAGGCGGGGGCCGCAGCCCUCGAGGCCCGAAGCCACCGCUUCCUCCCCCGCCUCCCCAUUCAGGAACAAAGAAACGCCACUGUACAUGCACGGUUCCCGGCCUGUGGAGUUGUGGGAGGAAGGCGAUGUCUGGCCUUUUUUGCACAGCUGCUGUUGCCUGCCCAGAGAUCGGGAACUCUGCCCCGUAGGACUGGAAGAAACCUCAGUAAUGGGAAUAAGACUUUGUCCAAUAGGGGGCUGAUGAAUGUGUGGGGGCGACAAUGGCAAGGAGUGGGACUCCCGGCCCGGGGUUCGCCAACCCCAGGGGCCACAGGUCCUCCUACAAUUGAACCAGAAUUCACCCACCCGGGCCUGCCCUGUGCAGGGUGCCGAGAGCCCAGGGAUGCAUGAGAGGGUGGCUCCUGCCUCUGGGAACUGGGACAGUGGGAGAGACGGAUAAGUUGUCACACAGAGGCUGCUGGGAGGAAGGAGGAGACAGAAGGAGUAGGGGAUGGGACUUCAUUCAUUCAUCAAAUGCACACGAGGCACAAAUGGGAAUCAAGGGUGGAUGUGCUGUGAUGAAGAGAAGUCCUGCCCUGAACAAGGUGGCGCUGUGGAGGAGGCAGAGAUCAGAUUUGUCUGCGGAGGUGUUAUGGACUGAACUGUGUCCCUGCCCCAAAUUCCUAUGUUGAAGGCCUAACCCCCAUGUGACUGUAUUUGGAGAUAAGGCUUUUAGGAAGUCAUUAAAGUGAGAUGAUGUCAUAUGGGUAGGGUCCUAAUUUGAUAGGAUUGGUGGCCUUAUCAGAAGAACAAUGUCAUGGGCAUGCACAGAAAGGAGGUGGCCGUCUGCAAGCAGGGAAGAGGCCCCUCACCAGAACCUGAGGGUGCUGGCAGCUUGGCUUUGGCCUUGGGCAUCCAGCCUCCAGAACCAUGAGAAAUAAAUGUUUAUGGUAGGUCUAUGAUGGCAGCCUGCUUGGACUGAACCGGCGGUGAGACAGGGCUUCAUGCAGGAGCAGACCUUUGAGCUGGGCCUUGAAAGUUGAGCAGGAAUUUGCUGGAAGGAUAAGGGAGGAAGGCUCUUCUAGGAGGAGGGAAUGGUAAGUGCAAAGGUGGAGAGCCUGCCAGUGCAUGUGUUCUGGUAACAAAGAACGAGAUGGUUGGCCGGCUGGAGAGUGGGGUGAGGGAGGGUGGGGCCUAGAUAAGGCUGGAUCCGCAGACAGGGCUGGGCUGAUGGCCAAGGCCACUGCAGGUGAAGGGGGAACCCUUAUCUCCCAGGCUUUUGACCUCCAGAUUUUAGCAGGGGAGCUUCGUUGUCGGAUUUGGGUUCCUGAGAAUCUACUCUGGCCAAGACGGAGAGGGGGUGUUGACCAGAUGGGAAAGGAUGGAGACUUGUAUUGCCCCAGUAAUGAGCGGGCAGGGUAGAUUAGAACAAGAUGUCAGGACUUGGGGGCUGAAUGCCAGGCUUCUGGCUGGGAUUACCACCCCCUGACACAUAUAAUGCCCAGGAAAUUGGAGGCCCCUCUCCAAGCCCCCAGGAGGCCACUGGGGACUCAUUCCAGGAUACUCACCUGCCUGCUUUGUGGUUUUGGAGGGGAAGACCUUGGAGCAGUUGCGAAGAUCCAUCUACCAUGUUCUGGUUUUUCCUUGGAAGCCUAAAAGUGUACCUCGGGAUGAGGAGGAAAUGGUUUUGAGGGCAAGUGGUAGGUCUCUGGCUAGGCCUGGCGGGGUUCUCAGAGGACAGGGGGUGUCUAGGGCCCUAGAUAGAAGUGUCCUGCCCAAGCCCUAAAGCAGGAAAUUAGCUGGGGAGUUGGGGUGAGACCCUGGGGUCGAUGGAGGCACUUUCCAUGGGAGAGUCCCACAGGGUAAGGGAGAGGGGGCUGAUGUCUGACAGUCUCAUAGACAGUUGGCUUGUGGCUGGAGAAGUGGGAGCAAAGGAGAAAUCACCUUUGAUUGGGAGAAGUGGCUCUGGCUCAUGUGCAACUGAGACAAAGCCAGUCCUAAGAGCAGCUUGUAAAUUCUUCUGUGACCACCUUUAAGGUCCUUCUUCCUGAGGCUGUGGAUGGGGGUGUACACAGGCCCAGUGUGGGGGGUUGAGCGUGAGUCCCCGGGAAACGGUGGUCCUGAGUUUUGGAUGCUCCAGGAUGAAGCCUGAUUCUGGAGUCAAUCACAGCACUAACCAUUUUGAGAAGACAAACAGAGCCCUAGAAAUGUUUUAUUUUACUUUGGUUUAACCUUCCUAAUGCAAGGCCCACGAGAGAAUUAGUACGUAAGUUUGGAAAUCAAUCAAAUUCUGAAGAGCAAAAACGGAACUAACCCUUCUGAUGUAGUUUUCUGACUUUAUCUGAAGCUGAAAUGUGUGUGUAAGAUUGGUCGCUCCAAACAGGACCAAUUCAGAUAAGAUAAAAGUCCAGAACUAUGAUUUCAGGCUCAGCUGAGCUCUGGCUAGGGGUACAAGUAUCUAAUAUGGUAUAGCUAAUAAUGUCUCAAUCAUUCAAUAAGAUACUCUCAAAGGCCUUCCUCCAACUAGACAAACAAAACAAAAUAAAAACACUAGUUACUUUUUGUUACAAAUGGAUUCAUAAACGGUUUUAUACUGAUUCAUUUUAGGCUUUAGAUCUUGACAUGUAAAGCAUAUGAACUCAACGCAUAAUCAACCCAAAGUCCAGUGUUUCUUUUUCUUUCUUCUUUUUUUUUUCGAGACAGGGUCUCACUCUGUUGCCCAGGCUGGAGAGCAGUGGUUGGAUCUCAGCUCAAUGCAACCUCCGCCUCCCAGGCUCAAGUGAUCCUCCCACAUCGGCCUCCUGGGUAGCUGGGACUACAGGCAUGCACCACCAUGCCUGGCUAAUUUUUUGUAUAGAUGGGGUUUCACCACGCAGCCCAGGCUGGUCUCGAACUCCUGAGCUCAAGUGAUCCUCCCACCUCGGCUUUCCAAAGUGCUGGGAUUUACAGGUGUAAGCCACUGUGUCCGGCCUAGUGUUUUUUAUCCACAGGCGCCCAGCUCUACCCAUGAGAUUACUUAUCCUGUCUCCCCAGGAGGCAGGUGGUGUAGGGAGCUGCUGGGAGGAUUAGGGAGAAUGUUGUGCCAAGGCCAGUUCCUGGCAUGCAGGACACACUUGCUCAGUAAAUAAGAGCUUGGCAUACGCUUCCCUACUCUCCUUGUCUCUCCAUAAGUGCACUUUUGAGGUUCUAGUUUCCCCCAAAACUUUGAAUAUUAAGCAACUCAUUUCUUUUUUUCUUUUUCUUUUCUUUUCCCUUCCUUCCUUCCUUCCUUCCCUCCCUCCCUUCUUUCUUUUCUUUCUCUCUCUCUCUCUCUUUCUUUCUUUCUUUUCUUUCUUUCUUUCCUUCCUUCCUUCCUUCCUUCUUUUUUUUCUUUCUGACAUGGGGUCUUGCUGUGUCACCCAGGCUACAGUACAGUCAUGCAAUCUCAGAUCACUGCAACCUCUGUCUCCCAGGUUCAAGCGAUUCUCCAACCUCAGCCUCUGGAGUAGCUGGGACUACAGGCAUGCACCACCAUGCUCGGCUAACUUUUGUAUUUUUCGUAGAGACAGGGUUUCACCAUGUUGGCCAGGCUGGUCUCAAACUCCUGACCUCAGGUGAUCUGCCUGCCUCGGCCUCCCAAAAUGCUGGGAUUACAGGUGUGAGCCACCACACCAGGCCUAAGCAACUCAUUUCAACACAUAGUUAUGGAAUAUUCUGGCAGUGUAUUAGGCUGAGGUUCUCUGUGUGUUCUGCGGAAAAGUACCUAGAAGGCAUGGUACUCUAUGCAGAACGUUCCAAGGCAUAACAAAUUCUGUCUUCAUAAGGUAGAGAUCAUUUAACCAUUAGGAAGUGUAACUAUAUUGUAUGUAUACCACAUAAAAUCACAACCAUAAGUACUCAAGUCUAUAACGAGUCCAUACUGUCAAAUUCACAAAAAUCAGCUGUUUCCAGUUUUCUCUCUCUCUCUCUCUGUCCUGUCUUUUUUUAUUUUUUUUUGAGAUGGACUCUUCCUCUGUCACCCAGGCUGGAGUGCAGUGGCAUGAUCUCGGCUCACUGCAACCUCUGCCUCCCCGGUUCAAGCAAUUCUCCUGCCUCAGCCUUUCAAGUAGCUGAGAUUACAGGUGAGUGCCACCAUGCCUGGCUAAUUUUUGUAUUUUUAGUAGAGACGGGGUUUCACCAUGUUGGCCAGGCUGGUCUUGAACUCCUGACCUCAGGUGAUUCACCAGCCUCAGCCUCCCAAAGUGCUGGGAUUACAGGCGUGAGCCACCGUGCCCAACCUCCAGUUUUUUCUUAAUAUUCAUCUACUAUACCAUGUGUGUGAUUUCUUUUGUCAUUUUUCAUGUUUAUAAUAUAGUUAGGCUUUGUGUCCCUGCCCAAAUGUCAUCUUGAAUUAUAAUCCCUGUAUUCCCCACAAUCCCCAUGUGUCAAGGGAGAGACCAGGUAGAGGUAAUUGAUUCAUGGGGGCAGUUUCCCCCCAACGUUGUUCUCAUGAUAGUGAGUUCUCAUGAGAUCUCAUGGUUUCAUAAGGGGCUCUUCCCUCUUCUCUCGGCACUUCUCCUUCCUGCCGCCUUGUGAAGAAGGUGCCUUUCUUCCCCUUCAUCUUCUGCCAUGAUUGUAAGUUUCCUGAGGCCUCCCCAGCCAUGCUGAACUGUGAGUCAAUUAAACCUCUUUUCUUAAAUUACCCAGUCUCAGGCAGUUCUUUACAGCAGUAUGAGAAAGGACUAAUACAGUUUGUUGAUUUUAUUUGCUUGCAACUGCUAGCAGGUAAGCAGUAGCUGGCACCAAACAUUCUAGAAAAAGAAAAUUGAGUCAAAAUUUAAAAAUCAGGGCUGGGCACACUAGUUCAUGCCUGUAAUGGCAGCACUUUGGGAGGCCAAAGUGGGAGGAUGUCUGGAGGCCAGGAAUUUGAGACCAGCCCGAGCAACAUAGUGAGACCCCGUCUAUAAAAAAAAUGAAAAAAAUUAGCGGGCAUGGUGAUGUGAGCCUGUAGUCCCAGCUACUCGGGAGGCUGAGGCAGGAGAAUUGCUUGAACCUUGGCGUUUGAGGCUGAGGUGAGCUAUGAUGGCACCACUGCACUCCAUCCUGGGUGAUAAAGCAAGAUCCUGUCUCUAAGAAAAUAAUUAAAAAAAAAAUAAACAUUCAGAAAAUUCUAUCUAGUAAUUUUGUUGAGCAAAUUGGGAAAAGCCCUUCAUUCUAUUUUGGUGGAAAACUUCUUUGGUAAAUGAUGGGUCCCCAAACUCUGCAUCUAGCAUUUGGGGAGCACUGCAGAAGGCAAGCAUUGGAUGUGGCAGGUCGCCCAUGCUUCUGUGAGAUCCGAGACAAGAGUACAAAUGGCAGCCCCCAUAGCAUCUGUUUAAAUAUGAAAAGUUACCAAUCAAACUGAGAAACCGUUAGAGAAAAUAUGUUCUACCUUCUUGUCUUAACACAUACAUCUUUAUCAUGUCCUAGAAGACCGGAUAGAAUCUGGUUUGGGAACAUGGUGGUGUGGGGAUACCCAGCCAUACCAAUUCUCUUCCCAUCCCAUCCUCUAUUCCAUUCCCCGCCAGAAAGGUCCUGAGUCAGGGGUGUGGAUUCCCAACACAGGGCACAAAUGCCGCCUGUGCCCCUUGAAAAAUGCCACACCUUCUUCCUUCCCACAUCCUGGGGCUUGGGGGCCUGGUGAAGAGGACCACGCAGGUCCAGGCAGCUGGCCCUGGGCUGCUAGGGCAGGAAACUCCUUCGCCCGUGGGCAGGAGCAGCCAGAGCGGGACUAGCGGGCGCCCUCUCCUGUGAGGGUCCAGCACAGGGGCCCUCCUGCCUGAGUCUAAGGGUGGGACUAGGCCGGCACUCACAGGGCAAGCAGGAGAGCAGGGACCCCACUGGUCCUCGCCUUGUCUGGGGGCCCCUGGCCCUGCUUCUGUAGGAGGACACGACAGUUGGCAAUAAUUCCACACCUGUGUCCCCAGUUCUUCCCUUCCCUCCACCUCACCAUUCACAUCCUGCUUCUUCCCUUCCCUCCACCUCACCAUGCACAUCCUGCUUCCAGCCCCGGGGCUUUCUCACCUGGACCACUGCACCAGCCUCUGACUGGCCUCCCUGUGGCUUUCCCUGCUGCCAUGCCCCCCACUCUCUCCACAAAGUAGCCCGAGUUAUCCCUUAAACAUGCACUCAGCCUGUAAUCCCAGUGCUUUGGGAGGCUGAGGUAGGAGGAUCACUCGGGGCCACGAGUUGGAGACCAGCCUUGGCAACAUAGCAAGACCUCCCUCUCUACAAAAAAAAGUUUUUUUAAAAAAACAAAGUGAAACAUGCACUCAGAUCACACCACUCACCAACUUAAACCCUCCUGUCACCACCCAUUGCGCAUGGGAGAAAACCCGUGUACAUCCAGCUGGCCACAGACCCUGCCUAAAUUGGCACUCGUCUCUGCUCAUGCCCCAUCCGCUCCUUGACUCCCUAGCUGGCUUUGCCAAGCAGAGCGUCUCCCAGCCGCAAGGUGCUGCGCUUUGCACUUUUGGUUCCCUGGAAUGCUCUUCCCAGGUUGGCACGACUCCUUCCUUCCUGUCAUUUGAGAAGGGGCUCUCAGGUUCCUCGCAGGGACCUGCUGCACACUCGUCACCCCUCCCCCAUUGUUCCGUAGGCCACUGUGUGUUUUAUUUUCCUCAUAGCACCCUCUAAAAAUGGUAUUUUAUGUGUUCCUUAUCAGCUUCUCCCCACUAGAGUGCCAACUCCACAAACGCAGGAACCUUGUCUGUCCUGUUCUGCCCAUUCCCAGAGCUAGGGCCAGCCUCAGCCUAUGCGAGAGCCUCAAAUAUUUGUUGAACGAACACAGAUGGAUUUGACUGCAGAAAACUGCUACCCCGCCACCCUCCUGGAACUGAGUCUGUUCCUAAGCCUAGAGUUGUUCAAGGGUGGCCCUGAAGGAUGCUGGAGAAGACCCGACUGACCCCCGGGUCAGGGAUCACUACAUCUGACUCAGUCCGGAGCUUCCUGAAGCAGUUUCAGGCAAGGCUGCCAGGGCCUGGAGGACCUGCUCAGUGCCUUUAGGGUAACUCCAAAGAGGCCACUGACAGGCAGUUAUGGCCCCCAGGGGCUUGGCUAAGCAAGAAGAACCUUUGUAGGGAGGAAAAUGGGGCCUUUUUUCGGGGUAGCUGCAGUCCAGCCAGGACACAAGGCUUUGUGAGCAGAGGUCACCUGAGUUGGGCCCUACCUGAAGCGCCCCCUCCACCAUGGCUCCAGAGCUCCCCCUACCUGUAGGGCACUGCCAGGAGGGGCGCCCAGGGAAGCAUGGACAUGGCUGAGUAUCAGACCCACCUAGGGAAAUGGGCCUGUCUCCCAGCUGGCUCAUAGGGGCCACAGGGACUGCUCUAUCCUGCCGACUUGGCAGGCCCCACUGCUCCAGAGAUAGGGUGGAGUCCUUGGAGCCCAUUCUUGUGCACCCACCGUUCUGACCCCAUUUCUUCUCUUUGCUGAAUUCCAAGGAUUUGUGCCUCAAGAGGCAUCUUUUAAAAAAAUUUUAGCUUGAUGCCUCAGCUCACACCUGUAAUCUCAGCACUUUGGGAGGCCAAGGUGAGAGGAUCUCUUGAGGCCAGAGUUUGAGACUAGCCUGGGCAACAUAGUGAAACUUCGUCUCUACGAAAAAUUUUAAAAAUUAACUAGGUGGGGCCAGGCGCGGUGGCUCAAGCCUGUAAUCCCAGCACUUUGGAAGGCUGAGGUGGGCAGAUCACCUGAGGUCAGGAGUUUGAGACCAGCCUGGCUAACAUGGUGAAAUCCUAUCUUUACUAAAAAUACAAAAAUUAGCCAGGUGUGGUGGCGGGCACCUGUAAUCCCAGCUACUCAGGAGGCUGAGGCAGGAGAUUCGCUUGAACCCGGGAGGUGGAGGUUGCAGUGAGCUGAGAUGGCGCCACUGCACUCUGGCCUGGGUAACAGAGUGAGACACUGUCUAAAAAAAAAAAAUUAGCCAGGUGUGACGGUGCAUGCCUGUAGUCCCAGCUACUCAGGAGGCUAAGACAGAGGAUUAUCUGAGCCCAGGAAGUCGCGGUUACAGUGAGCUAUGAUUGUGCCACUGCACUCUAACUUGGGUGACAGAGCAAGACUUUGUCUCUAAAAUUAAAAAAAAAAAAUCCUAAUAAGGUGAGAAGCCAAAUCUUUUGAAAAAUCAAAAUAAGAGUGUCUAGGGGCUGACUGCAUGACAGCCCCAGUUCCAGCCUUUUUUCCUUGUGAUUCUACUCAGCUGCCUCAAGUCUAAGCCCCUCAACACUGUGUAAAGUAGCCCCAAAGUGCAGACAAUGAAGCUACGGGAGGAACGAGCUGCACACAGUGGGCUACUUGGAACAUUUCCAAAGGCUGCAUCUGCUCUAGCACAGUAGUUGGAACUCGAUUUUUCCCAAAGGAAGCUAGUAUCAGGUCCUGCUGUGGCCUGUGGAAACACACUGUCAACUUACAGGUUAAGAAACCGAAUUUUAGAGUGUAAAUUAGUUCAACCGUUGAACUAAUGGUUCACAUUGAAAGCAGUGUGGCAAUUCCUCAAAGAGUUAAAAGCAGAACUACCAUUUGGACCAGCAAUCCCGUUACUAAGUAUAUACCCAGAGGAAUUAAAGCAUUCUAUCAUAAAGACACAUGCAUGCGAAUGUUCACUGCAGCACUAUUCACAAUAGCAAAGACAUGGAAUCAACCUAAAUGCCCAUCAAUGACAGGCUGGAUAAACAAAAUGUGGUACGUAUAUACCGUGGAAUACUAUGCAGCCAUGAAAAAGAAUGAGAUUCUGUCUUUUACAGGGGCUGUUAUCCUUAGCAAACUAACACAAGGACAGAAAACCAUGUUCUCACUUAUAAAUGGGAGCUAAAUGAUGAGAACUCAUGAGCACAAAGAAGGGAACAUCAGAAACUGGGGUUUACUUGAAGGUGGGGGGUGGGAGGAGGGAGAGGAACAGAAAAUAUAAGCUUUGGGUACUGGGCUUAAUACCGGGUGAUGAAAUAUCUGGACACCAAACCCCUGUGACACGAGUUUACCUAUGUAACAAACCACAUGUACCCCUGAACUGAAA
RNAcentral lists this long non-coding RNA (9602 nucleotides) under Homo sapiens (human). RNAcentral describes it as "non-protein coding CEBPA-DT:15". Lineage: Eukaryota; Metazoa; Chordata; Mammalia; Primates; Hominidae. The record is from RNAcentral.